GUGAUUCCGGUAGAGGUGGUUGUC
Molecule: non-coding RNA, 24 nt
Filed under: Arabidopsis thaliana (thale cress)
Lineage: Eukaryota; Viridiplantae; Streptophyta; Magnoliopsida; Brassicales; Brassicaceae
Source: RNAcentral